UACGAGGGGGGCGAGCGUUGUUCGGAAUUAUUGGGCGUAAAGGGUGCGUAGGCGGUUCCGCAAGUCCUGUGUGAAAUCUUCGGGCUCAACUCGAAGUCUGCACGGGAAACUGCGGGGCUUGAGUGUGGGAGAGGUGAGUGGAAUUCCCAGUGUAGUGGUGAAAUACGUAGAGAUUGGGAAGAACACCAGUGGCGAAGGCGGCUAUCUGGACGGUUUCUGACGCUAAGACGCGAAAGCGUGGGGAGCAAACAGG
Molecule: ribosomal RNA, 253 nt
Filed under: uncultured bacterium
Lineage: Bacteria
Description: partial 16S ribosomal RNA
Rfam family: Bacterial small subunit ribosomal RNA
Source: RNAcentral